AGAGUUUGAUCCUGGCUCAGGAUGAACGCUGGCGGCGUGCCUAACACAUGCAAGUCGAGCGCGAUUAGACGGACUGGAGACUUCGGUCAAAGGGAAGACUAUGAAAGGGCGGACGGGUGAGUAACGCGUGAGCAACCUGCCCUGUACAGGGGGAUAGCCACUGGAAACGGUGAUUAAUACCCCAUAAACCCACAAGACCGCAUGGUCAAAUGGGCAAAGCCACAAGCGGUACAGGAUGGGCUCGCGUCUGAUUAGCUAGUUGGUGAGGUAACGGCUCACCAAGGCGACGAUCAGUAGCCGACCUGAGAGGGUGAACGGCCACACUGGAACUGAGACACGGUCCAGACUCCUACGGGAGGCAGCAGUGGGGAAUAUUGCACAAUGGGCGCAAGCCUGAUGCAGCAACGCCGCGUGAGUGAUGAAGGCCUUCGGGUCGUAAAACUCUGUCCUUGGGGAAAGAAGUGACGGUACCUUAGGAGGAAGCCCCGGCUAACUACGUGCCAGCAGCCGCGGUAAUACGUAGGGGGCAAGCGUUAUCCGGAAUUACUGGGCGUAAAGGGUGCGUAGGCGGCUCUUUAAGUCAGAUGUGAAAACCCAGGGCUUAACCUUGGGAGUGCAUUUGAAACUGAAGGGCUUGAGUGCAGGAGAGGAAAGUGGAAUUCCUAGUGUAGCGGUGAAAUGCGUAGAUAUUAGGAGGAAUACCAGUGGCGAAGGCGACUUUCUGGACUUAUACUGACGCUGAGGAACGAAAGCGUGGGGAGCAAACAGGAUUAGAUACCCUGGUAGUCCACGCCGUAAACGAUGAGUGCUAGGUGUUGGGGGUCAAACCUCGGUGCCGCAGCUAACGCAUUAAGCACUCCGCCUGGGGAGUACGUACGCAAGUAUGAAACUCAAAGGAAUUGACGGGGACCCGCACAAGCAGCGGAGCAUGUGGUUUAAUUCGAAGCAACGCGAAGAACCUUACCAGGGCUUGACAUGCCAUUGACCGGUCUAGAGAUAGAUCUUUACCUUCGGGUACAAUGGACACAGGUGGUGCAUGGUUGUCGUCAGCUCGUGUCGUGAGAUGUUGGGUUAAGUCCCGCAACGAGCGCAACCCUUGCCUUUAGUUGCCAUCAUUAAGUUGGGCACUCUAGAGGGACUGCCGAUGAUAAAUCGGAGGAAGGUGGGGAUGACGUCAAAUCAUCAUGCCCUUUAUGUCCUGGGCUACACACGUGCUACAAUGGUCGGUACAACGAGUUGCUACCUAGUGAUAGGACGCUAAUCUCUAAAAGCCGAUCCCAGUUCGGAUUGUAGGCUGCAACUCGCCUACAUGAAGUUGGAGUUGCUAGUAAUCGCGAAUCAGAACGUCGCGGUGAAUGCGUUCCCGGGUCUUGUACACACCGCCCGUCACACCAUGGGAGUAGGCAAUACCCGAAGCCAGUGAGCUAACCAGUAAUGGAGGCAGCUGUCGAAGGUAGGGUCAAUGACUGGGGUGAAGUCGUAACAAGGUAACC
RNAcentral lists this ribosomal RNA (1493 nucleotides) under uncultured bacterium. RNAcentral's name for it is "16S ribosomal RNA". It matches the Rfam family "Bacterial small subunit ribosomal RNA". The record is from RNAcentral.